This is a long non-coding RNA of Antechinus flavipes (yellow-footed antechinus), 2164 nucleotides long. RefSeq lists it as uncharacterized. The record is from RefSeq and is a predicted model, not a curated record. The transcript is spliced from 2 exons. Lineage: Eukaryota; Metazoa; Chordata; Mammalia; Dasyuromorphia; Dasyuridae.
GAGAGAAGGAGGCAAACCUGGGACACAGGGAGCCCAGGAUUGUGGCACAGAGGCCUUCCCCCAAGGAGUUUUUGCCCAAAUAGAAAGCAGAAACCUCCUAGGAUGCCAAGGCAGCCAAAUGGGCCAAAUUCUGCGGAAGGCUGAAUGACCUUGAGAAACGGCUCCAUUUCCCGCCGUUCAAGGGGGAUAUGGUCAAUAAGGCGGCCUGAAGGGUUGCUGAAGCGCCUUCCCCAAGUGGCUGUUAUAUCGCGAUUGCCCAAGUCCUUUGGCAGCAGCCCAAGGUGUGUGAAGGCAGUGCCAGCUGGGUGAAGAAGACCUCAAGUCAAACCACAAAUUCCCACCCAGUGCUCACCCCAACCACAGCCUCAGGCAGAAAGAAGCCCUUCUAAGGCCCCCCUGGGGUCUCGGGACCUGAGCAGAAGACAAGUUGAAGAAAUCUGACAGAUGAUCUCCCAUCUCCCCCAAAAGCAGGCAGGACACCGAAAACUAGAGGCCGCGAGUUGGGAAGGAAGGAGCCCAGCUCAGAGAAGAUGGACGUGAGCCCCCUCCUUCUACAAACAACCCCUGAAGCAGCGGACAGAGCAGCAGAAGCCUUUGCUCUGGCUCUCCACGCCAGGCUGAGGUCGGGGCCAGGGUCUGCGCCUAGGCCUGGGCACAGGCUUCACUAGGGCCCAAAGGGAUCCGCAACUGUGACCACAAGUUCAGCCCAAAGCCGGUAAUGAGCUCCCAAGGGAGCACCUUACUCACACGUCCAUUAAUCUUCCCCCAGAUGACUGCCAUCCGGGGGAGUGGUGGGCAAGGUGGGCAAGCUCUGGUUUGCUUGGCAGGAGGGGUGCUGAGGAGGGGAGAUGGCACUUUGCUGUCUGCAAGCACCGCCCUGCUGGAGGUCACUGGAGCUCACGCACAAAGUGCUCCCAGCCACUGCCCAGAGCACGAUCCAACACACAGGAAGGGCUGGCCAGCUGCCGGCACCUCUGGCGUUCCUGUCCCCGGGCCUGGAACACACCAGGAGAGACCUGGAGGCUUCUGGGCUCAGGGAGAAGGAAGGAGAGCCAGCUUUUGCUGGGUGGCGUGGGAACCCUUCCCCACCACAAGAGAGGGAGGCCCAAGUGUCUGCACACCAAGUCUCCUCCUGUGGCCCCUGAGCGGCAGCAAGGUGGGGCCUACCAUUACCUGGGCCAACCCAGGGUGCAGCUAUCCCAACUCCCCAUCUCUGGGAGCACAGAAUCACCUGCUCUUUGUCUCCCACACGGGGGUGACCAUUGACACGGGAACACAUGCGUCCUCACUGGCUAACAGCAGCUCUGGACCCGCUCCCGGCAGUACCUGGGGCUGUCGGGCUCCAGAAAGGCCUGGGGAGGAACAGACAGAACUGGGGACUUGCCACACCACCCAGGUGAGCUCCUGAGACCCAGCUGGGCCAGUGAGGACCUGGGGUUUCUCAUCUCCUGAGAAAGUUCACAUAGGAAAAAAACAUGCCCUGUCCCUGGCAAAACACUCAGGAGCAUAGCAGUGCUGAGGUUCGGGCGGCCCGGACAGAACUGGAAAACUGCUGUUUAUCCCAAAGCCAUCACGUCACCGAACCCGAGACUGGGGGGGCUUACUGACAGUGCAGAGAAUACAAGGUUGGGAGGGACCUGCACCUAAUCUCUUCCGGAGCCUGGCCCACAAUCUACUAGGGAAGAGACAGCUCCCAGAUCUGCACCUAAAUAAGAAAAGUAUUCUCAAGUUCUUUGAAUCUGGACCCCACUGGACCUGAAUGCUGGCUGCAAGGAAGGCUGGGCAGCCCAGAAGCAACAGAGUGCUUGUUCCUCCUGUACCUUCUCGGUGAACCCUGCCCAGAGUCCCCCAAUGACUGGUACCCUCUUUCUCUGUUCAGCCAUUUCUAUCUAAAAGGUGCCAUGAGCUUUCUUUUUCUUUUGAAAUUUUCUUUUUUAUUUAUCUUUAACACACAUUUACAUUCAGUCUCCUCGGAUCUUUUUCUGGACGCAGAUGGCGUUUUCUCUCCAGAGUUUCCUGGGAUUGCCUUGGAUCCCUGAUCCCUGAGAAGAGCUGAGCCUUUCACAGUUGACCAUCCCAUGUUCUUGCUGCUUCUGUAUACAGUGUAUCCCAGCUCAUUUCGCUCAUUAUCAGUUCAUAUAAAUCGUUGCGGGCCUUUCUAAAA